Molecule: transfer RNA, 71 nt
Filed under: Hylonycteris underwoodi
Lineage: Eukaryota; Metazoa; Chordata; Mammalia; Chiroptera; Phyllostomidae
Description: tRNA-Val
Source: RNAcentral
CAAAGUAUAGCUUACCCUAAAGCAUCUAGCUUACACCUAGAAGAUAUCACAUAAUCAAUGAUUACUUUGAG